RNAcentral lists this long non-coding RNA (9040 nucleotides) under Durio zibethinus. Its description in RNAcentral is "long non-coding RNA (DZIB_LNC000632)". The record is from RNAcentral. Lineage: Eukaryota; Viridiplantae; Streptophyta; Magnoliopsida; Malvales; Malvaceae.
AACAAUUAGUGGACCUGGAGCCUCACUGUAAUGUAGCAUCAACCCAAAUAUCCAGUAUUUUAUGACCAUGGCAUUCCCUUUCAGCAACAAAUCUUAUCCACCUUCUCCUCCAAAAUAAUCGUACAGUCCAAUACGAUCAAGCUGCCCUUAGCUUCAACCAAACCAGUUUCGUAGCAAAUAUGCCCUGUAAGAUGUCCCUGUUCUUUCUAUACUUGCCCUGCUACUAUCACUGUCACUACUCUUGUCUCCAACUUUUACCAGAAACCCAAACUUGGGUAAGUGGAAAAGUACUGUUAAGACUGCUUCUCUUUUUAGUUUUCAAUAUUUUCUUUUUUGGGGUUAUUGUAGGAAAGAAAGACGAUGGAGAGAUUCAGAGAAAUCUAAUCGGAGUAAAUCCACCAGGUCAUGGUCAUUCACCAGGUGGCUGUAGCAACUGUUUUCCUCCUUAUGUUGAUGAUGACGAGAAGGAAAAUUUUACUUGGGCAUCCCAGAUCCCAGCGCCAUAGUUAAUGCCUAAAAAGCCUACCAUUCAAGUAUGUAUGUCCUUCUGUUGGGUCUGUACCAUUAAAUCUUAUAUUAUAUGAAAGCAUAUAGAGUUGAGGUCUACUGUUUCUGUUGGAAUAUUAAAUCAAAUUUAAUAUCUUUUCCAUUAAUAAUUUGUUUUAAACAUUAAUUGAUAAACAUAUAUAUAUAUAUAUGUAUUUAUAUCAAAGCAUAUAUGGAGUUGAGGUGAUCUUGAUUAUUGUUGGAAAAUUAAACCAAAUUUGACAUUUUUUCCAUUAAUAAUUAGUUCGUUCGUCUUUCACAUCAUGUUUAAUUUUAAUUUUGCACAAAAUUUAAGAAGUUUUGAAUUAAAAUUAACUUUUGUUGACUAUAAAGUUUUGUUUUCAUAAAUUAAUCUUAUCUUGAAAAAAAUGAAAAAAUUGUUAAGUAUACUUAUAGGUAAUAAGAGAAAGAAUGAUUUUUUUUGACACAAUUAAAAGAGACAAAUAAGACACUAUAUAUGGGCUGUAGGGAGUGGUUUUGAUUAGGGUGGGCAAAAUCACCCGAACCCGUCGGGUUUCGACCCGACCCGACCCCUUAGGGUCGGUUUUUUUUUUUGAAAAUCGGGUAUCGGGUCGGGUCGGUCGGGUAGAGUCAAAAAAAUUUCGGGGUCGGGUCCGGGGUCGGGUUUUAAGCAAACCCCGACCCUACCCGACCCGCAAUAUAUAUAAAAAAUUUAAUUUUUUUAAUUAUUUUUUAAAUUUUUACAAUUUAAUUAUAUAUAUUUUUAUAUAUAUUUAAUUUAUAUUUAUAUUUAAAAUAAUAUUUUAUUAAUUUCGGGUCGGGUCGGUCGGAUUUGAUUUUAUACACUGUCGGGUCGGGUCGGGUUCGGGUAUUAAAAAUAAAAAAAUUUUCGGGUCGGGUACGGGUACGGGUAUUGUAUAUUUAAAAUCGGGUCGGGUUCGGGGCGAGCAAAAACCCGCCCCGACCCGACCCGUUGCCAUCCCUGGUUUUGAUCAUAAAUUUAUGUAUACUCAAACUUGAUAGAGGUUAGCUUCUGAUUGGUCAUUUGAGUUUUUCUGUAAUUGCUGUCAAAUUUUACUCCUUUUAGCAAAUUUUCUUAGAUCUCACCUGUUAAAUUUUGAGAUUUGUUGCUAAGAGGUUUUAAAUUAGAAUCUUGAAAAAGGAAACCAAACUACAUUAGAGGUUAUAAAUAAGACAACGCUACCUCCUAUUAUUAUGAAAUUCAAACCAAUUCUCAUAUGUAGUAUUAAAAAGAGAUAAAGAGAGAGAAUGAAAAUAAUUGCACUCAAAAUUAUAGUUGAACUUGUACACAUUCCAUGAUCCCAUAAGUGAUAUCCUAAUUUGGCUUUUAUUGAUAAAAAUUUUCACCUUUCAUUGCAUUUAAUUUUCAAAUCAACAUUUAAUAUUAUAAAUUUUUUUAAAAAAUACAUUAUAAAGACUUUGAAUAAAAUAUUUUUUAAAUGAGUAUUUGUUAAAAUUUAAUACAUAAAAUAUUUAAAAGUAAUUUGGAUCAAAAUUGAUGAAAUUGAACCAAUAAGUGAAAUUAGGAUAUUAAAGCCUCUUGGUUGGCUAUUGCCCACCUUUCACCUUUCAAGUUUUCACCUAACACAGGGGGCACCCAACCCCACAUCCGCUAAUAUCUUCUUUAUUCUUCGUCUUCACUGUCUUGAAUGUUUCUUCCUUGUUUUGAGGGAGACUGUUACAACCAGAUGAGAGCAUUUCAUAUACAAAUGUUUUUUAAUCUUAUAAUUAAUUAAUUAUAAUAAAAAUUACAUAAAAUCACCAUUUAAUUAUAAAUGUGGGUGCCACAAAAAAAUAUUUUUUAUGGAUCUUUUAUAAUUCCGAACCAUAAUUGAUUAAUCAUAAGUGCUCCCAUAGCCACUAAUGCCUGGGGCUGUGGCUCUGGAAGGGGCAAAAUGGUCAGUGGCUCUUUGCUUUGCUGCAAUUGAGAGCUCCACUGCUGGGUGAAAGCACUCCACCAAUAUCACAGUGAUGAUGUCCAACUGUAAGCGACCAGCAGGAUGGCAUCAAAACACGGUGAAAGUGAGUUGGAAAAAAAUAUAGAAAAGCUAACAACAACAUUUCGUGUAAUCUUGUUUAUUUAUUGACAAUAAUUGUUGACAUCUAUCACUUGCCAACCAUCAGUGGCAUCGUCAUUUGGAAAUUUCCAAAUGUGAACAAGAAAAAAGAAAGCCGCCAACGGGGAAUUGUCAACAUGACAAAGACAAAGAAUGGACAACUAGUGGACCAUGCUCUCUAGCUCUCAUGGAGCACUUAUUGUGUAAUAACCAUUAACAAUUUAGUCAUUCCAUUCAGCCAAAAAUUGACUACCAAAUCAUCUUUCUUCUCCAAAACAAUCACAAUCCAAUCCGAUCGAACUGCCAUGGGCUAGAGCAGAAAAUUUUAUUUUAUUAUAAAAUUUUAAUAUAUUUAAAUAGUUUUAGAUAUAAAAUAAAAAUUUUUAUUUUAUAAAAAUUUUAAAAAUAUAUAGUUCGAUUCGAUUUUUUUUUUUCAUUUAAAAUCUUAUUUGAAUUUAAUAUAUUUACUAUCUAAAUUUAAUCAAAAUUAAAUAAAAAAAUCAAUCCAAAUUAAAUUAAACAUUUCAAUUUUUUCAUUUUUUUUUUCAUACCGCUAAUCAAAUCCCGAUCAAAUGUCCUCCUCCUGCUGCCGAUAGCGAGAAGACAAAAAGUAUUUGGUCAACCAAGGACCAUAACUAGUGGCUAGCCUUGCUGUGUGAGUAAUAAUUUUCUAAAUUUAAGUAGCAGCUAUAGAAGAAAUAAAGAGACAAGUACUGGCAAGGUUUAGGGGAAUUUGAGAAAGAAGAAUUUGUAAGUACUGACGAUUGAAUCUCAUACAUGCUCGAAUCUCUCUUUUAAGUGGAUAGGUAAAUAUUUGAAUUGAAUCCCAAGUUCAACUCUAUCCCUAUAUGUUAUUGUCACCCUUUAAUGAUUUAAAAAAUAAAAAGAAGCUAAUUUUAAUGUUUUUCUUGCAAUGGUGUAAAGCUCUUCGAUCUUAUUCUUUUCUCUCACUUGUCUAACUAAUCCAAUGGUGUAAAAAAUUUCUUUUCCCCUUUUCUGGUCAUCCCCCAAAAAAGGGCAGCUUUACUUUUAAACUUACAAAUUAGUGGGAUUGCAGUGUCAAUGAACUAAUGUUUCCAUCUUAAUUUUUUUACUAUUCUACACCAUAAUUAUAAUUAUGACGAUUCCGAUUAUUUUGGAUGAUGGUUUCUCAAUAGCUUAGAAGUUGCUAGAACGAUGAAAAUUAUAAAGAUUCCUUAUUAUUAUUUUUUUAACAGGAUAACUGAAGAUCAUGUAAAUUGCAUCAAAAGAAUUUUAUAGGAAGUUUAUGAUGCUUUUUUUGCACAUGUUACCGAUAUUAAAAGAUUGAUAAAAUACUGAAUUCGUAAUUUAAUUAUAACAAUCUAAAUAUAAUAUAUAAAUAUAUAUAUAUAUAUAAAUGUAUAGGUGGUAAAUGAUGAUAUAUAUAAUAUAUGUAUCGCUGAAAGACCACUACUUACUGACCUUCAACAAUCGAUUUGCGGAUGAUCUUCCGUAACUUGUGAAUAUUUUACUCCAACAAAUUAAAGGCUGUCAUAAAGUACGAAGCAACUAAUAAUCCUACGUAUUUCAGUACAUUGGAAGUUGUGAUACAGAAACAACAUAAUUUCCAAUUUUAAUAAAAGUUUCAUCUACAAUAAAAAUAAACUAGUUAACAAAAGAGAAAAAUGAUUUCUAAUACUAGAUAUAUAUUUGAUAUAUAUUUGAGUAUUUUAAUAAGUAAAUUAUUUUAUUUGGUUUUUUAUAUGUAGACUGAAAUUAAAAAUCACAAAAUUAAGUGAAUUAAUUCAGAAUAUUCUUAUUAGUUGUGCGGAUAAAGGAUGUAGAGUCUUAAUUGCUUCAUGUAGUUAACAUUCUACAAAUUUAAAAUUUAAAUUUAACACCUGAAUUUUUUUUUUUUUUCAUUUUCAUAUUGUGAUUUUAUAUGUAUAAAAAAAAUUGGAUAGAAUUGUUAGGCUCCGUACUGUUGAUGGAAUGUGUUAAGUGAAGUCUGGUUAUAGAUUAUUAUUGAAGAAAGAGCUCGGUAAAGCUGGCAUUUGUGCUCCAAGUAGCUCUUAUAUUGUGGAUGGUAAUGUAUGGAGAGAGAUAUGGACAAUUAGUGCCCCUAAUUAAUAAGAUAAAGGUGCUUCCUUGGAGAGCUAGCAAUUCUGUUCUUCCCACUAGAUGCAAUUUAUGGAAGAAUAUUGUGUGUUGUUUUUAACAGCCUUGAUGGAACUCAGGAAGAUAAAUAAAGAGCUCAAUAUUGAUCUCGCUAUAUAUCUUUAGAAUUUAAAAGGGCAUUGGUGAAUUUGCUUUUGCACAGGAAUGCUCUUGGUUGCAAGACAUAUAUAUAUAUAUAUAUAUAUAUAUAAGUUGGAAAAAGGAUCCUGAUGUGCCUGAUGCUAGGAAUGAGCCUGAUGGUGCUUGAGUGGUUAAAGAAUAAAAAUGAAUACAAAUUAACAGAGAACAAAAUUAGGCAAGAAAAAGAAUGUAGCCGCCGUAGGGAAAGAAAACAUGCUAUGGCUUCACAACGAUAACAUAUCAGAAGUCUCCGCAAAAGACUUCCAGCCAACGCUCAACACCAUGAAGCAUGAACAAGGCCAACAAAAUAAAACACAAUUCAAUUAAUGUCAUUUAAUUAUAUACCAAUUUUUUUUCUAUGAAAACGAACAUAAUUUGUGGGUAAAUUAUGAAGGUUUUAAUUUUAAUAUUGCUAAAUUUAAAUUUUAUUAAAAACUUUUAUUUUAGAAAGAGUUUAAAGUUAAUAAGGAAAUAAAUAAAAAGUAAUUAAUAUUUGAUUUAAUAAAAAAACCAAUUAAGGAAAAUUCACUUUAUAUUAAAAACUUAAACUUUUUUUGGUCCAAAACAAAAACAUCAACCUUAAUAAAAAAAAAUAAAAAUUUAUUAAUUAAAGCUAAAGUAAUUAAUUUAAUACAUUAUCAAGUGCAUAUAUGCAAUUAACUAUUUGCACUUUGGGCUUAUUACUUUUAUAUAUAGUAUUGAUAUUGAUUAUUAAUUCAUCAUUUUUUGGUAUUGUGAAUACGUAUAUAAAAUUGGAAUUAUGUUAGUAGAAUUUGAAUAGAUACAGACACGAAACUAAAAAUAAAGGUUCCAUAUAAUUUUUUUCCUUUUUAAUUUGGAGAAAUUAGAUAUUAAUAUGCUAAUUGAGUUAAAAAAAAAAGUCAUGUAUUCAAUCACUAAGGGAUCAUUUGGAUCCUACCGAAACAUCAAUGCUGUAUAAUUUAUGCACUUUUUUGAAUUUAAAGUGCCAUUUUAUCGUUUGAAUAUCAACAUUAGGGCACGGUUAGUGCUAGCUAACCAUCGGAGCUUUUAGCUUCAGUCAAAAUAAUUUAAUCUUACCAUUUUAUUUUUACUUUUACCUUUUAUUUUUUUCAUUUUUGUCAUAUAAUUGUAAGUUUCAUUUUUUUAAAUUUUGAUUUGUUAUUUAAAAAAUAUUGAAAUAAUUUUUGUUGAUAUAAAAUAAUAAAUAAUUUUAUUAUAUAAUAAAUUAAUAAAUAAAUUAUAUGUAUUAAUAUAUUAAUAAAUGUUAUAAAUAAUAUUAAAAUAUACAAAAAUAAUUUAUUAAUAAACUUUUAGAAUAAAGUCCUUAAUGAUAAUUUUUUAUUUUCAUUUCACCACAUCACCAUUUUUGUAUAUAAAUACAUAUCUCAUCAUCAUUUUUAAUCUUAUCACACAAUAAUUAAUCUCACAUUUAUUAUUAUUUUCAAUAUCACCAAAGUUAAUUUUAUCAUCUAUCCAAAUGAACUCUAAGUCAAAUGCAUGAAUCACUAAAUCAAACACAUUUAAUCUUACCAAGAUGCAUUAGUAGAAUAUUAAAUUUUUAAUUUUUAUAAUAAGAUUCAAUCCUUAAUUAUUUAAGUAAAAAAAAAAAAACAAAUACAUACGUCAAAUUUUAUCUAGAUUGAUUUUAAGAUUGGGCCAAAGCAAAUUUCCAAAUAAUUUAAGUUUCAUUAGAAUCCACCCGAUUUGAGCUUGCUUGAAAGUUUUAAUUAGUCAUUGUUCGAGACCCACUACCAUAGCCAUACAUCCAAAUAAAAAACACAAACCAAAAACAACCAUAUCCUCGGAGAGAGACUAGAGAAACAGAAAACAAAAACAAAGAAUAAAAUAAAAUAAAAGCAAAACAAAAAAUUGAAAAAAAAACACUUUAAUUUCAGUCUGAGUUAUUCUAGUGAGAUCCAGGUCGAUGUUUUGAAGAAGGGAACGUAGUUAGAGUUGCGGCCAUUUCGGAUGGCAGAGAAGGAGAUUUUGGAUGUUUGAAGAGAGGCAGAUUUUCGGCUUAGAGUCUAGAAAAAUUUAGAAGGUUUUUGGAGAAAUCUUUCUUCCUAUAAAAUGUUUAGCAGGUUGAAGGGAAAAUUUCAGUGUAUUUUGGAAGCAAACUGGCAUUCAGUUGAGCCAACGACAGCGGUAGUGCCUGCUGAAAGGUCAUUGGAUUCUAGUUUAGAGGUGGCUACCACAUUUUGGCUUAGAGAGAAGAAAAAGAUUUUGAGAACAGGGAAUGUAGAGAUAGAAAGGAAGGAAGAAAUAUGAAUGAAAAAAACUAGCUUUUAUAGGAUGAAAAAAAAAAAAAAAAGAGGCCCGUGCAUUGACUGGACCCGACUCGAGAUCAUGCACCCGUCCCUUCAACCGGUUUUCUACUUAGACCAAGGACCAGUUUGACUGAAUCGAUGAUCAACUACUAUAUCGUCUAAAAACGGGACUAAACCAAGAUGAAUGUUCCAAAUCUUUGUUUGAACCAAGAUAAACCGCUCCAAACCGGCUAACUGGACUGAAUGGUUAUGAAUCGUUGAUUAACGUUGAUCAGUUUUUUUUGGGUUUUUUUUUAUUAUUUUUAUUAAGUUAUUUAUCUAUGCAUAUUUAAAUUUUAAAAUAAUAUAUAUUAAAAAUAAUAAAAUAAGUGUUAAAUUAAAAAAAAACCUUUUUAGGUGAGAAAAUUCUUUUUAAAUUUUAUCAUAAUGGUGGAAAAUAAAAAAAAAAAGAAUUUCAAUAACUAUGGUUGAAAUUUAUUUUACAUAAUAUAAUAACAAUCCCAAAAUAAGAAUAAAGAAAUUAUAAUGAGGUGAUUAGCUUAAUUUUAUAAAUACACUUUGCUUUCGAAUAAAAUAUGGAAUAAAUGCAAUUCUUAAAAAUGUGAGUUUCUAAAGAAAUUAAGAAUAAAUUUUUUUUUAUAGAAAUUUUGAAACAAAAUAUAUUAUCUAAUUCUUUCCAAAAUGAUGAACAAUUUAGAUAAAACUUUAAUAUUAUGAAUUUACAUUUCUAAAAAAAUUAAGACCAAUUUAAGAUAAUGGAAAAUUAAUUGAUAACAUUUUUGAACGGAUGUUGAAUGUUGUGUACGUUAAUCUUUCUCCAUGCAUAGUUAUAUCCUUGAAUAUGGUUUUUUAGCAUAGAUAAAAUCUAUCUUUUUAAAGAAAUCAUAGUUGAACUUAGAAUUAAAAAGAAAAAAAAUUUGAUAAUCAAUCACAACUAAUAAAAAAGAUUAAUAACAGAUUUUUUUUCAUGUCUACCAUUGAGUCUUUUGAAUCAAUACAUUAUUACAAUAAUCUUCUCUUUUAUCACUGAUUAUUAUUUAUAUGUAUUAUAUAUCAUCACUGACAUCAUUACUAUUUGGAAAUUUUAAAAAUUAAAAAAGAAUGAAAAAUUCCCCGAGAUUAAAACGAGUAGCAAUUGUCAAUUAAAAAAAAAAAAGAUUUGGAGCAACUAUUGGUCGAGCUCUUAAAUUUCCAACUGUAUCAUGGAGCAUGAACCAUACUAUUCUUAUUUAAUAAGCAGUUAUUUAACCAUUAACAAUUUAGUCAAUCCUGUACAACAAUAAAUGGAGCACCAAAAUCCUAUAUAUUCCUCCUCCAUCAUAAUCACAACCCAAUCCGGUCAAGCUACCAUUGGCUUCAGCCAGAAAUCAAUUUCUUGGCAAACAUGGCCUGCAAGAUGUCUCAUGUCCUUUCUAUACUUCUGCUGAUAUCAUUAUUUUUAUUGAUCUUACCUCCAACUUCAGCCACAAACACACACUUGGGUACGUUACUUAUAGCUACAUAUGAAACAUUCUUCCUAAUUAGUUCUAUCUCUCUCUUUUGAGUUUGUCGGUAUUUUUUUUUUUUUUUUUGGCUUAUUGUAGGAAAGAAGGUGAAUGAAGAGAUUUGGAGAAAUCUAAUCGAUGUAAAACCAGGUUUAUGUUGUGCUCAUGCACCAAGUGGUGGCUUUUCACCCAGUACUAAUAUCAUGAAGGAAAAUUUUAUUAGCGCAUCCAAGACCGAGGGCCAUAACUAAUGGCUACAAACCUUGCUAUGCAUGUGCCACUACUCUCCAUGUAUGCCUUUCUGAUAGGGUCCGUACAAUUUAUCUUUUAUAUAUAUAGAUCGGAACAUAAAAUUGAGUUCUCUUUAUUUCUGUUGGAAAAUUUAACUAAAUUUAAUAUUAUGCUAUUAAUAAUUAGUUUUAAUAAUUAAUUUAUAUAUAAUUUGUUAGAAGUUAUCUUUUAG